Molecule: non-coding RNA, 75 nt
Filed under: Candidatus Izimoplasma sp. HR1
Lineage: Bacteria; Bacillati; Mycoplasmatota; Mollicutes; Candidatus Izemoplasmatales; Candidatus Izemoplasmataceae
Description: Candidatus Izimaplasma sp. HR1 c-di-GMP-I riboswitch aptamer
Rfam family: c-di-GMP-I riboswitch aptamer
About the family: GEMM was predicted in a large-scale screen for bacterial structured RNA regulatory elements. Genes associated with GEMM are involved in a diverse array of functions, including chemotaxis regulation, signal transduction, secretion and chitin.
Source: Rfam by way of RNAcentral
AGAAGAAAACGCCAAAAUUGGAGCGAUCCAAUGACGGAAAACUACAGGGUCUCCAGAAGACAGCCAGUUGCCUUU